GACGAACGCUGGCGGCGUGCUUAACACAUGCAAGUCGAACGAUGACAACCGAGAUUGCUCUGUCUGUUUAGUUGCGAAGUUGUUAGUAACUCGUUAGCUACCUCCCCUUCACUCUGGGAUAACCUCGGGAAAUCCGGCCUAAUACCGGAUCUAAUCUCCUGUCGCAUCGUUGCUUUUCGAGAGUUUUUCGGUGAAGGAUGGCUUCGCGGCCUAUCAGUUUGUUGGUUCGGUAUUUGCUCACCAAGGUGAUGACGGGUAGCCGGCCUGAGAAGGCGACCGGGCACAAUGGGACUGAGAGACGGACCAGAGUCGUACGGGAGGCAACAGGGGAGAAUAUUGCACAAUGGGCGAAAGCGAGAGGCAGAGACGCCGCGUGAGGGAUAACGGGCUUCGGGUUAUAAACGUCUGUCAGCAGGGAAGAAGCGAAAGUGACGGUACAUGCAGAAGAAGCGCCGGCUAACUACGUG
Molecule: ribosomal RNA, 467 nt
Filed under: uncultured bacterium
Lineage: Bacteria
Description: partial 16S ribosomal RNA
Rfam family: Bacterial small subunit ribosomal RNA
Source: RNAcentral